Molecule: ribosomal RNA, 450 nt
Filed under: uncultured bacterium
Lineage: Bacteria
Description: partial 16S ribosomal RNA
Rfam family: Bacterial small subunit ribosomal RNA
Source: RNAcentral
GUGGGGAAUCUUCCGCAAUGGGCGAAAGCCUGACGGAGCAACGCCGCGUGAGUGAAGACGGCCUUCGGGUUGUAAAACUCUGUUAUACGGGACGAACGGCGCUAUGGACAAUACCCAUAGCGAGUGACGGUACCGUAAGAGAAAGCCACGGCUAACUACGUGCCAGCAGCCGCGGUAAUACGUAGGUGGCAAGCGUUGUCCGGAAUUAUUGGGCGUAAAGGGCGCGCAGGCGGGUCUAUUUGUCGGUCUUAAAAGUGCGGGGCUUAACCCCGUGAGGGGACCGAAACGGUAGGGCUAGAGUAUCGGAGAGGAAAGCGGAAUUCCUAGUGUAGCGGUGAAAUGCGUAGAUAUUAGGAGGAACACCAGUGGCGAAAGCGGCUUUCUGGACGAUAACUGACGCUGAGGCGCGAAAGCCAGGGGAGCGAACGGGAUUAGAUACCCCUGUAGUCC